GCCUGGGUGGCCGAGCGGUUCUAGGCGCUACAGUCUAGGACGCUGCGGUCGCAGGUUCGAAUCCUGCCUCGGGCA
This is a non-coding RNA of Schistocerca nitens (vagrant locust), 75 nucleotides long. NCBI's taxonomy places the organism in Eukaryota, Metazoa, Arthropoda, Insecta, Orthoptera, Acrididae. The record is from the annotation of a RefSeq genome assembly.